AAAUAAUGCUGUAAAAAAUUAAAAAUAACAAAAAAAAAAUUAUAUCCUGGCAUUAGUUUUCCUUCCUGUUAUUUUCCUAAAUGUUUCUCCCCUCUCCUUUAUAGGUGUACACAAUGAACCUUUAAAAAUGUGGAGCUGCCUUCAAAAUUGCUGUCGUCAUCCAGAUCAAUUUGGAACAAACUUUCAGCAAGACUUUUAUUAAAGAGACAGAGAGGAGAGAAAAAAAAUGCAGACAAGGAGAUCACAAAUGCAUCAGAUGGCAACGAGAAAGGGAUUCUGUUUCACCUUGACUCCUUGUUUCCACUAACAACCUCUCCUUUAUCUACAACACUCCAAUAUUGCAGAACCUGAGGAUAUGAAAUCACUUCCUCCCUUCCCCUCAAAGAGAUCAAACAGUGGAAACUGGGACUUAUGGAUACUCCAAACAUUUGCAAAUGAACACGUGUGAAGAAAGAAGGAGCACCAUUUAACAGUCUUUUUAGACUGCUCUUUAUCAGGGUGCUCCUAUCUAAAGGGAUGUAAGACUCUGAACUGUCCUAGCCAGCAUGGGUAUAUGAAAACAGGUGCCUCUUGACCUAUCACCUCCUUCUAUGACAAGGUGACCUGUUUAGUGGAUGAGGGGGAGACUGUGGAUGAUGCCUACCUAGAUUGUUGUAGUCUUUGACACUGUCUCCCACAUAAUUCUUGAGCAGAAAUUAGCUGCUCAUGAAUCGGAUAGAUGUGGUCUUCCCUGGGUGAAAAACUAACUGGAUGUCUCAGCCCUGAGAGUGGUGGCAAAUGGAGAUCAAUACAGUUGGUGACCGGUGUCUAAGGGUGCUCCCAAAGGCUCCCAAAGUAUUGGAGCCAGUCCUGUAUAAUAUCUUUUACUGAUAAUAUGGAUGCAGGGAUCAAGGGCACUCUCAGUAAAUUUGCA
This 913-nucleotide long non-coding RNA is filed under the name Cyanistes caeruleus (blue tit). Its description in RNAcentral is "lncRNA (ENSCCEG00000010832.1)". Lineage: Eukaryota; Metazoa; Chordata; Aves; Passeriformes; Paridae. The record is from RNAcentral.